GGAACCCGGGGCUUAGUCCAGUCCAGAGGUUGAGGAGGGCUUUGCUGAGAAGCAGGCUGCCUUGAACUCAGAGAUCCACCUGUCCCUGCCUCCCCAGUGCUGGGUUUAAAAGCGUGGGCCACCACCAGCCGGAGGAAGAUAUAUUGAGGGCGCAGGACGCAUGUAACGGAUGGAGAAGGGAAGACUGUGUCGGAGGAAGGAAAUUCACAAGAGUGACUAGAGAGAAUGCCGAAGGAUAAUGGGAAAGGGGGGGCAAAUCAACUAGAACAAAAUAUAAUCACGUGUGUGCACCGAAAUGCCAGAAUAAAACCUAUUACUUGAAAAUUAAUUAAAAAAAUUAGAAUAUAUAGCUUUCUCUGGCCAUGUAGCCAUUUGUAUUUCAACAUCGGAAGGAAAAGCAACAUUAGGUGCCUUCUUUGGUUUGGAUACGUGGGGAUUCAGGAGGCCUUACCACAUAAUAUACAGAAGUCACUCUUUGUCACAUUGGACCUCGCAUAAUCUUGACCUUUCGCCUCCAUACCACUGACACCUCUCACAGUAUUUUACAGUGAUGCUUCAGUACAGCAAGGGUGAGAGUUUGGCCUGGCUGCUGAGCCACCAUGCUGACCGUAACAACAAAUAUGGAGACAGUCCAGGUGGCUGGUCGGUGGUCACUCAGAGUAAGGUGGACCCGAAGAUAAGAUUGCUUUGAGGAGAAUGGCCGCCAGAUUAAAGGGACAUAGCUCCUGGAUUCCUGAAG
This 739-nucleotide long non-coding RNA is filed under the name Rattus norvegicus (Norway rat). RNAcentral describes it as "long non-coding RNA NONRATT007102". The record is from RNAcentral. Lineage: Eukaryota; Metazoa; Chordata; Mammalia; Rodentia; Muridae.